This 263-nucleotide ribosomal RNA is filed under the name uncultured bacterium. Its description in RNAcentral is "partial 16S ribosomal RNA". It matches the Rfam family "Bacterial small subunit ribosomal RNA", at positions 793 to 1055 of the family's 1533-position model. The record is from RNAcentral.
GUCCACGCCGUAAACGAUGAGAACUAGCCGUUGGACCCCAUGAGGGUUUAGUGGCGUAGCUAACGCGAUAAGUUCUCCGCCUGGGGAGUACGGCAGCAAGGCUAAAACUCAAAUGAAUUGACGGGGGCCCGCACAAGCGGUGGAGCAUGUUGUUUAAUUCGAUGCAACGCGAAGAACCUUACCACCCCUUGACAUCCUCGGAACUUGGCAGAGAUGCCUUGGUGCCUUCGGGAACCGAGAGACAGGUGCUGCAUGGCUGUCGU